AUAUAAGAUAAAUAUAGUGGAUCAUGUAGAUAUGAUAUUAAAGUACUAUAUUUUAUAAGGAAGGUGGAUUAUUGUAUAUUUACCACUGUUUUCUGCUUAAGAACCAAGGUGAUACUUAUAUAAUUGUUUUUACCCUAGCAUUUUGGGAUAAUUCUUGAGUCAUAAAAAUCUCCUGAUCAACUUGGUGAUUGAAUUGGAUUGCAUUAGUUCUGAUAGAAACUGUUUAAAAAAUUACCUGACAUUCUAUAGAAAUGAAAGGAGCCAUGCUGUGUAAUCACAAGGCUUUCAUGACAUGACAUUUAUAGAUUAUAUGAAAUAGGUAAUUUCAAAUGUAAAUUUUAAGUUUUAUUUACUAUUAGUCAUCGUUUUUUGAUUAUUUAAAAAUUUGUACUAUGGACAACUAAUUAAUUUUACUUUUUAUCCUCUGAGAUUUGAUUGUGGAGCGGCAUAAGGGGGAGAAAGAUAAGUUGAGGACGUCUCUUUAUCUUUUGUUAAUCAGAGGUGGUGAUAGAGUGGAAAAUAUAACACGUUUCGGCAUUCAGGAGACCUACCUUCCAAUAAAUAUGAACCUCAAACUGAAUCCUCUAAAGGCCCCAUACAAUGAAGUAGACAUUGGUGGAAACAUUUACACCCAGUCAGCUUGAAGAGUUUCAAAUGGACCCUACCACUGAGAAAUCAAGAUGGCAGUCUACUAUGGGGAAUUGAGGAAAAAUGGAUUAAUACAAGAGUCCUGUGAUAAUAUACAACCAAGACAGGGUUCUUUUAACAUGGAUUCCAUGCAGUGAAUGAAGACAUAGGUUUCUUACCCAACACAAAUGGACAGUGGAUUUGACUUUCUAAAGACUUUUUUUGUGGACAUUUUGACAUUUGGAGAAGAAAGAUGGCACACUAACCCAGAUAAUAGUUUUUAUGCCUGGAAUUUUUUGCAGUUUGAUUUGUAUGCGUAUGACCUCUUGAAAUGUUAAUUUUUAAUAAAAUUUGUAACACU
Molecule: long non-coding RNA, 988 nt
Filed under: Homo sapiens (human)
Lineage: Eukaryota; Metazoa; Chordata; Mammalia; Primates; Hominidae
Description: HSALNT0383158
Source: RNAcentral